AUGCCUAACACAUGCAAGUCGAACGGGGGUAGCAAUACCCUAGUGGCGAACGGGUGAGUAACACGAUAAGCAAUCUGCCCUUCGACAGGGGGAUAACAGGCGGGAAACUGCUGCUAAUACCGCAUAAGACCACGGUACCGCAUGGUACAGGGGUAAAAACAUCAGUGGUGAAGGAUGAGCUUAUGUCCCAUUAGCUAGUUGGUGAGAUAACAGCCCACCAAGGCGACGAUGGGUAGCCGACCUGAGAGGGUGAUCGGCCACACUGGAACUGAGACACGGUCCAGACUCCUACGGGAGGCAGCAGUGGGGAAUAUUGGGCAAUGGAAGGAAACUCUUACCCAGCAAUGCCGCGUGAGUGAAGAAGGUCUUCGGAUUGUAAGCUCUUUGAUUGGGGACGAAGAAAGUGACGGUACCCAAAGAACAAGCCCCGGCUAACUACGUGCCAGCCGCCGC
RNAcentral lists this ribosomal RNA (453 nucleotides) under uncultured bacterium. RNAcentral describes it as "bacterial SSU rRNA". It matches the Rfam family "Bacterial small subunit ribosomal RNA", at positions 44 to 518 of the family's 1533-position model. The record is from RNAcentral.